CCUACGGGGAGCAGCAGUGAGGAAUAUUGGUCAAUGGACGAGAGUCUGAACCAGCCAAGUAGCGUGAAGGAUGACUGCCCUAUGGGUUGUAAACUUCUUUUAUAUGGGAAUAAAAUGUUCCACGUGUGGGAUUUUGUAUGUACCAUAUGAAUAAGGAUCGGCUAACUCCGUGCCAGCAGCCGCGGUAAUACGGAGGAUCCGAGCGUUAUCCGGAUUUAUUGGGUUUAAAGGGAGCGUAGGUGGAUUGUUAAGUCAGUUGUGAAAGUUUGCGGCUCAACCGUAAAAUUGCAGUUGAAACUGGCAGUCUUGAGUACAGUAGAGGUGUGCGGAAUGCGUGGUGUAGCGGUGAAAUGCUUAGAUAUCACGAAGAACUCCGAUUGCGAAGGCAGUUCACUGGACUGCAACUGACACUGAGGCUCGAAAGUGUGGGUAUCAAACAGGAUUAGAUACCCGAGUAGUC
Molecule: ribosomal RNA, 460 nt
Filed under: uncultured bacterium
Lineage: Bacteria
Description: partial 16S ribosomal RNA
Rfam family: Bacterial small subunit ribosomal RNA
Source: RNAcentral